AGAGUUUGAUCCUGGCUCAGAACGAACGCUGGCGGCAGGCCUAACACAUGCAAGUCGAGCGCCCCCGCAAGGGGGAGCGGCGGACGGGUGAGUAACGCGUGGGAAUUUUCCUCAAGGUACAGAACAACUCAGGGAAACUUGGGCUAAUACCGUAUGAUGUCUAGCGACCAAAGAUUUAUCGCCUUGGGAUAAGCCCGCGUCAGAUUAGGUAGUUGGUGGGGUAACGGCCUACCAAGCCUGCGAUCUGUAGCUGGUCUGAGAGGACGAUCAGCCACACUGGGACUGAGACACGGCCCAGACUCCUACGGGAGGCAGCAGUGGGGAAUCUUGCGCAAUGGGCGAAAGCCUGACGCAGCCAUGCCGCGUGAAUGAUGAAGGUCUUAGGAUUGUAAAGUUCUUUCGCUCGUGACGAUGAUGACGGUAACGAGAGAAGAAGCCCCGGCUAACUUCGUGCCAGCAGCCGCGGUAAUACGAAGGGGGCUAGCGUUGUUCGGAAUUACUGGGCGUAAAGCGCGCGUAGGCGGUUUUGCAAGCCAGAGGUGAAAUGCCUGAGCUCAACUUAGGAAUUGCCUUUGGGACUGCGAGGCUUUGAGGACUGGAGAGGUGAGUGGAAUUCCCAGUGUAGAGGUGAAAUUCGUAGAUAUUGGGAAGAACACCAGUGGCGAAGGCGGCUCACUGGCCAGUUUCUGACGCUGCAGCGCGAAAGCGUGGGGAUCAAGCAGGAUUAGAUACCCUGGUAGUCC
Molecule: ribosomal RNA, 743 nt
Filed under: uncultured bacterium
Lineage: Bacteria
Description: bacterial SSU rRNA
Rfam family: Bacterial small subunit ribosomal RNA
Source: RNAcentral